Long non-coding RNA from Fundulus heteroclitus (mummichog), 1027 nucleotides. RefSeq lists it as uncharacterized. The transcript is spliced from 3 exons. The record is from RefSeq and is a predicted model, not a curated record. Lineage: Eukaryota; Metazoa; Chordata; Actinopteri; Cyprinodontiformes; Fundulidae.
ACAGGAAGGUCCAUGUGUAUAAGAACGGUUCUGAUCAGCCUGUAGAACAGAACCAGUUCUACAGCAACAGAACCAAGAUGAAUGAAGACCUGCUGAGAACUGGAGACCUCAGUCUGACUCUGAAGCGUCCCACAGAGAGAGACAUUGGAGAGUACAGAUGUGGAGUCUGGAAGGACGACCAACCACUGAGAUGGAAAACAUUUCAUCUCACAGUCAAAGCAAAGAGAGUUUCGGUCAAGAACCAACCAGAGAAUAUCAGGACCAGAACCAUUGACCCGACUCCUCUGAUGGCUGAUCAAUCAGUCUGAUCUGUUUGUUCAUCAAUGAUUUGUUCUUGAUCUAAUCGGACCUUGGUUCUGAGAGAAGGUUCUGAUGGAUGAAGAACAGAGGACUCUUCAUCAGCUGCUGCCUCUGAGUCCAGUCUGCAGACUCUGUAUUGAUCAGGAUUAAUGACUGAGAGCUUGAAGCUGGUUCUGGUAGCAGAAUCUGACCCAAACUGAGAGUAAAACAGUCAGGAGGAUGUUUCCAGUCAGAGACCAGAACCAUCUUAGGUUCUGUGUGGCCCGAUCCAGCAGCUGUGAUCCUCCUGAAGAACCCUGACCCAGAACCCUGAUCCAGAACCAGCCUCCAGCUCCUGAGGAACAUUCUCUCCAUCAUUAUUUUCUGUUUAGUUCACAUCCAGACCCAGAAAAAGUUUAAAUGGUGGAAAGGUGAAACUUUUGGUGCCUUCAGGGUUUCUGUCAGAUCCAGUUUUCCUCCAAAGUCAGGAUAGAAGUUCUGAGCUUUAGUUUGAUUCUCUAGCAGAGAGAGGUGGUUCUGGUCCGUCAUCAGAACCUCAUUUCUCAGCAGCAGCUCACAUCUUCACUCAGUAUUUCUGAUGUUUAGUCCGGCUUCAGCCCAGGAUUUAAACUCUGAUGAAGCUUUUCUAGAUCUGUUACUUUCAGCUGUUCUAGUUUAGAUUUAGCUUUAGGUCUGAUUGUUAGGAAUUAAACUAUUAUUAGGAUUAGUCAUGAUGAACUGAUUAUUU